Molecule: ribosomal RNA, 633 nt
Filed under: Amphisiella milnei
Lineage: Eukaryota; Ciliophora; Spirotrichea; Stichotrichida; Amphisiellidae
Description: LSU rRNA
Rfam family: Eukaryotic large subunit ribosomal RNA
Source: RNAcentral
GUAUCUGAAAUCAAGUAGGACCACCCGCUGAACUUAAGCAUAUCACUAAGCGGAGGAAAAGAAAUUAACUAAGAUUGCCCUAGUAACGGCGAGUGAAGCGGCAAGAGCCCAAACUGAAAAUCUUCGCACCUCGUGCGACGAAUUGUAAACUAAAGGGAUGAUGCUUACCGGGAUUUGGCGCAGAAGUGCCUUAGAAUGGGCCGCCAGAGAGGGUGACAGCCCCGUAUGUGGUGCCAAGUCCUACCGAGCGUUGUUUCAAUGAGUCGGGUUGUUUUGAAUUGCAGCCCUAAGCGGGAGAUAAACUUCUUCUAAGGCUAAAUAUAUAUGGGAAACCGAUAGCGAACAAGUACUGUGAAGGAAAGAUGAAAAGAACUUUGAAAAGAGAGUCAAAAGACUUGAAAUCGUUGAGGAGGAAGCGGUAGAAAUUUAUUCUUCGGCGGAGGACAGUGGCGUCUGUCUAACCAUUGUACGUGUCAGUACUUUAACCGGCUGUAGCGUGCGCUUGGGGAAACGGGCGUUUUGGACUUCGUUGUAAGGCAGAAUGGGGUCGUGCUUCCGCAGAGGCUUCUCAGAUCUGGCUUGAUUCGUCUCGCAAUCUGGGUGUGCUGGUGGGCGUAUGGCCUGAGGGUGCUU